This is a long non-coding RNA of Helianthus annuus (common sunflower), 1688 nucleotides long. RefSeq lists it as uncharacterized. The transcript has 4 exons. NCBI's taxonomy places the organism in Eukaryota, Viridiplantae, Streptophyta, Magnoliopsida, Asterales, Asteraceae. The record is from RefSeq and is a predicted model, not a curated record.
CAACACGUGGAUUUUAGAGCGUUUGUCAUUAAAAUAAAGAAUCUAUAAACAGAAAUAUAGGUAGAAUUAGCAAAAUGAAAAAAAAAAACAAGGGAACCGACAAAUGGCGCAAAUGAAAUUAUUCUUUUGACUGCAAUAGCAAUCCAUGCAGCUUUUGGCAUUUUAAAUCUUCACCAUGUGGGAAUAUUAUGGGAAAACCUUGAGCAAACAUUUGAUUUUUACCAGAACCUAUUCCUAUUGGGUGUGUGAAGAUAAAAGAGGCAAGACCUCAUGAUAAGCUCCCAUAUAGGAGAUGCAUGACCCUGGGUUGAUUCUAAGAUGAUUCACUUGAUGGAACUGCCAAAUCCUGACCCUCCAACAGGCAAGCCCCAGCAUGGACGGCGAGAUCGUCGUGAAUUUUUCGCAAGAACACUAAGGUUUGUUGUCUCUUAUUUCACAAGUAUAUUUUGAUUAUAGACGUAGUGAUUUUUUUUUUCAAUUAGAGACCCAAUUUCACAUGUUAUUUAAAUUUUCCCACCAUUUGGUAUAAAUUAUUCAUCAUUCAAGAAUGUCGGCAUAAUUAAUAUAUUCUUUAUUAAAUAGAUGUCUAACUUCACGUUGUGACUAAACGUUUACUGCAUAAUUGAGCUAAUUAAUAUACAAAUUACUUCAAAAUGUAAUUAUAUAAUUGUGAAUUGUAAAUUCACUCAUUAAUUUGACAAAAGCGUUGUAAUAUAGGAAUAAACGUCUUCAUCUCAACAGAGUGGUGGGUGAGGUCCACACACCAACUAAAACUUAUAAACUACUUUACCAUAAUAAUCCUCCUGAUGUAUCUUGAUUAUGUUCUCUUUUUAGAACAAAAAUGAAACAAAAGUUAUAUUUGUAUAUAUAAAUAGUUCGAUACACAAAAUUUAUAUCACAACUAUUUAUUCACCAGUUGGUAUGGAUUUCACAGAAUUGGUAUUACUAACAUCACACUUUUAGAUUAAGGCAUGGAUUUUCAAAGCAAGCAAAGUUUGAUCUAUAUGUCAUCAGUCAGUCAAUUGGAUGAUGGAGACCAAAAGAGGUUUACACGAUGGUUGGAGUGGUGAUGUUUGACGGGUGUUGUUUCCGUUGACCUAACCGCUGGAAGCCGGAUGACAAGUGGUGGUUACAUGAUGAUCACGGUGUGGUUGUCGAUGGUGGUUAUUUGGAUGAUAAACGGGUGGUGACCGGAAGCUAGGAGUCUUAUACGGUUUCUGUAGAGAUGACUCAACACUUAAUCAACUCGGUCAACUAUGGUAAACAGAGACGAGACAUGUCAGAUUCGUUUAACAAUAGAAAUGGAGGAUUCAAAGAGGUUCUGGUGCAAAUUGUGCUAUUAUACAUUAUAAAGCAAGAGUUCCUUACUUAUUGUGAGGCUCCGACACGUUUCCGAGAAGUGACCAACAUAUGUCUCACUACAUAUGGGGAUACAACGCAUGAGCAUAAGGAUAUUUAGUAGCAGAUUUUGGCAAAAGAUCAACCAAAUAAGAAGCUUAAAUAGGAACGAGAUAAAUGGAUUGAACGUUUACUUUUCUAUUUUAAUAUUUACGUUACUACUUGAACGUUUGUUUUAUUAAAAGUUUUAUGUAAACACUCGUAAAUGGUAUUUUUUGUUGUUGGUCCACCCGUGUAACACACGAGAACUUAGACUAGUUAUUAUAAUAUAUGAUUAAUUUUACAGGUUA